RNAcentral lists this ribosomal RNA (404 nucleotides) under Ochyrocera aff. minotaure OC449. Its description in RNAcentral is "partial large subunit ribosomal RNA". Lineage: Eukaryota; Metazoa; Arthropoda; Arachnida; Araneae; Ochyroceratidae. The record is from RNAcentral.
CCUGCUCAUGAAAUUUAAUAGCCGCAUUAUUGUGCUAAGGUAGCAUAAUAAUUUGUUCUUUAAUUAAGAAAUAGAAUGAAAGGAUACACGUUUAAUAAACUUUAUUUUAUAUAAACUAUCUAAAUUUUAAUAAAAAUAAAAAUAUUUUUAUUUCAAAGAAAGACGACAAGACCCUAAUGAACUUUUCUUAAAGAUUAACUGGGGAAGUUAUUUAAUUAAAUUUUAAAAUAAAUAUUUUUAUAAAAGCUUAUCAGAAUAUAAAUUAGUUACCAUAGGGAUAACAGCACAAUUUAAAUUUAAAGAACUUAUUUAAAUUUAAGAUUAUGACCUCGAUGUUGAAUUAAUAAUACUAUUAUAAGUAUAAAUAUAAUAAGUAAGUCUGUUCGACUUUUAAUAUAUUACAU